This 460-nucleotide ribosomal RNA is filed under the name uncultured bacterium. RNAcentral describes it as "partial 16S ribosomal RNA". It matches the Rfam family "Bacterial small subunit ribosomal RNA", at positions 338 to 795 of the family's 1533-position model. The record is from RNAcentral.
CCUACGGGUGGCAGCAGUGAGGAAUAUUGGUCAAUGGGCGAGAGCCUGAACCAGCCAAGUCGCGUGAGGGAAGACGGUCCUAUGGAUUGUAAACCUCUUUUGUCGGGGAGCAAAAAGUCCUCGUUAGGCCACAAUUUAUAGUACCCGAAGACAAAGCAUCGGCUAACUCCGUGCCAGCAGCCGCGGUAAUACGGAGGAUGCGAGCGUUAUUCGGAUUUAUUGGGUUUAAAGGGUGCGUAGGCGGACUGGAAGUUCAGCGGUAAAAUCGAGAGGCUCAACCUCUUUCCGCCGUUGAAACUGUCGGUCUUGAGUGGGGGAGAGGUAGGCGGAAUGCGUGGUGUAGCGGUGAAAUGCAUAGAUAUCACGCAGAACUCCGAUUGCGAAGGCAGCAUACCGGAGCCCGACUGACGCUGAGGCACGAAAGCGUGGGUAUCGAACAGGAUUAGAUACCCCUGUAGUC